This 208-nucleotide ribosomal RNA is filed under the name uncultured bacterium. RNAcentral's name for it is "partial 16S ribosomal RNA". It matches the Rfam family "Bacterial small subunit ribosomal RNA", at positions 1293 to 1500 of the family's 1533-position model. The record is from RNAcentral.
UCAGAUUGUAGGCUGCAACUCGCCUAUAUGAAGUUGGAAUUGCUAGUAGUCGCGGAUCAGCAUGCCGCGGUGAAUACGUUCCCGGGCCUUGUACACACCGCCCGUCACACCAUGAGAGCCGGUAAUACCCGAAGUCAGUAUCCUAACCGCAAGGGGGGAGCUGCCGAAGGUAGGAUUGGCGAUUGGGGUGAAGUCGUAACAAGGUAUC